CCUACGGGUGGCAGCAGUAGGGAAUGUUGCGCAAUGGGCGAAAGCCUGACGCAGCAACGCCGCGUGAUUGAGAAGGUCUUCGGGGUGUAAAGAUCUGUUAGUGGGGACGAAACUUGACGGUACCUACAGAGGAAGCACCGGCUAACUCCGUGCCAGCAGCCGCGGUAAUACGGGGGGUGCAAGCGUUGUCCGGAAUCAUUGGGCGUAAAGAGAUCGUAGGCGGCACGUAAAGUCUGGUGGUAAAGGCCGAGGCUCAACUUCUGAACGGCAGUGGAUACUGUCUAGCUAGAGUGCGGUAGAGGUAAAGGGAAUUCCUGGUGUAGCGGUGAAAUGCUUAGAUAUCAGGAGGAACAUCGGUGGCGUAGGCGCUUUACUGGGCCGUAAUUGACGCUGAGGAACGAAAGCCUGGGUAGCAAAUAGGAUUAGAUACCCGUGUAGUC
Molecule: ribosomal RNA, 440 nt
Filed under: uncultured bacterium
Lineage: Bacteria
Description: partial 16S ribosomal RNA
Rfam family: Bacterial small subunit ribosomal RNA
Source: RNAcentral